AGUCACUGACAUUAGAUACCCGUGUAGUCCAGGGUGUAAACGCUGCAGACUUGGUGUUGGAAGCCCUUUGGGGGCAUUCAGUGCCGGAGAGAAGUUGUUAAGUCUGCUACUUGGGGAGUACGUCCGCAAGGAUGAAACUUAAAGGAAUUGGCGGGGGAGCACCGCGACGGGAGGAGCGUGCGGUUUAAUUGGAUUCAACACCGUAAAACUCACCAGGGAAGACUGUUACAUGAAGGCCGAGAUGAAGACUCUGCUAGAUUUUCAG
RNAcentral lists this ribosomal RNA (265 nucleotides) under uncultured archaeon. RNAcentral's name for it is "partial 16S ribosomal RNA". It matches the Rfam family "Archaeal small subunit ribosomal RNA", at positions 717 to 982 of the family's 1478-position model. The record is from RNAcentral.